CCUACGGGGGGCAGCAGUGAGGAAUAUUGGUCAAUGGGCGUAAGCCUGACCCAGCCAAGUCGCGUGAGGGAUGAAGGUUCUAUGGAUCGUAAACCUCUUUUAUCAGGGAACAAAGUCUGGGACGUGUCCUAUUUUGUAUGUACCUUAUGAAUAAGGAUCGGCUAACUCCGUGCCCGCAGCCGCGGUACUACGGAGGAUCCGAGCGUUGUCCGGAUUUAUUGGGUUUAAAGGGUGCGUAGGCGGCCUGUUAAGUCAGGGGUGAAAGGCUCGGUCUCAACCCGAGAAUUGCCGUUGAAACUGGGAGGCUUGAGUAUGUUAGAGGCAGGCGGAAUGCGUGGUGUAGCGGUGAAAUGCUGAGAUAUCACGCAGAACCCCGAUGGCGAAGGCAGCCUGCC
This 395-nucleotide ribosomal RNA is filed under the name uncultured bacterium. Its description in RNAcentral is "partial 16S ribosomal RNA". It matches the Rfam family "Bacterial small subunit ribosomal RNA", at positions 338 to 730 of the family's 1533-position model. The record is from RNAcentral.